AGAAUCAACGCUGGCGGCGUGCCUAACACAUGCAAGUCGAACGAGAAAGUGGAGCAAUCCAUGAGUAAAGUGGCGCACGGGUGAGUGACACGUGACUAACCUACCCUUGAGUGGGGAAUAACUUCGGGAAACCGAGGCUAAUACCGCAUAACACCUACGGGUCAAAGGAGCAAUUCGCUUAAGGAGGGGGUCGCGGCAGAUUAGUUAGUUGGCAGGGUAAUGGCCUACCAAGACGGUGAUCUGUA
RNAcentral lists this ribosomal RNA (245 nucleotides) under uncultured bacterium. Its description in RNAcentral is "partial small subunit ribosomal RNA". It matches the Rfam family "Bacterial small subunit ribosomal RNA", at positions 26 to 285 of the family's 1533-position model. The record is from RNAcentral.